Molecule: transfer RNA, 77 nt
Filed under: Chloroflexota bacterium
Lineage: Bacteria; Bacillati; Chloroflexota
Also listed under: 1 other name
Description: tRNA-Val
Rfam family: tRNA
About the family: Transfer RNA (tRNA) molecules are approximately 80 nucleotides in length. Their secondary structure includes four short double-helical elements and three loops (D, anti-codon, and T loops).
Source: RNAcentral
GGGCGCUUAGCUCAGCUGGCCAGAGCGCACGGUUCACAUCCGUGAGGUCACAGGUUCAAGUCCUGUAGCGCCCACCA